AAAUCCGGAAAAUCAAGGCUGAGGCGUGAUGACGAGGCACUACGGUGCUGAAGCAACAAAUGCCCUGCUUCCAGGAAAAGCCUCUAAGCAUCAGGUAACAUCAAAUCGUACCCCAAACCGACACAGGUGGUCAGGUAGAGAAUACCAAGGCGCUUGAGAGAACUCGGGUGAAGGAACUAGGCAAAAUGGUGCCGUAACUUCGGGAGAAGGCACGCUGAUACGUAGGUGAAGUCCCUUGCGGAUGGAGCUGAAAUCAGUCGAAGAUACCAGCUGGCUGCAACUGUUUAUUAAAAACACAGCACUGUGCAAACACGAAAGUGGACGUAUACGGUGUGACGCCUGCCCGGUGCCGGAAGGUUAAUUGAUGGGGUUAGCGGUAACGCGAAGCUCUUGAUCGAAGCCCCGGUAAACGGCGGCCGUAACUAUAACGGUCCUAAGGUAGCGAAAUUCCUUGUCGGGUAAGUUCCGACCUGCACGAAUGGCGUAAUGAUGGCCAGGCUGUCUCCACCCGAGACUCAGUGAAAUUGAACUCGCUGUGAAGAUGCAGUGUACCCGCGGCAAGACGGAAAGACCCCGUGAACCUUUACUAUAGCUUGACACUGAACAUUGAGCCUUGAUGUGUAGGAUAGGCUUGAUGUGUAGGAUAGGUGGGAGGCUUUGAAGUGUGGACGCCAGUCUGCAUGGAGCCGACCUUGAAAUACCACCCUUUAAUGUUUGAUGUUCUAACGUUGGCCCCUAAUCGGGGUUGCGGACAGUGUCUGGUGGGUAGUUUGACUGGGGCGGUCUCCUCCUAAAGAGUAACGGAGGAGCACGAAGGUUGGCUAAUCCUGGUCGGACAUCAGGAGGUUAGUGCAAUGGCAUAAGCCAGCUUGACUGCGAGCGUGACGGCGCGAGCAGGUGCGAAAGCAGGUCAUAGUGAUCCGGUGGUUCUGAAUGGAAGGGCCAUCGCUCAACGGAUAAAAGGUACUCCGGGGAUAACAGGCUGAUACCGGCUGGAGAACUGAGGGGGGCUGCUCCUAGUACGAGAGGACCGGAGUGGACGCAUCACUGGUGUUCGGGUUGUCAUGCCAAUGGCACUGCCCGGUAGCUAAAUGCGGAAGAGAUAAGUGCUGAAAGCAUCUAAGCACGAAACUUGCCCCGAGAUGAGUUCUCCCUGACUCCCUGAGAGUCCUGAAGGAACGUUGAAGACGACGACGUUGAUAGGCCGGGUGUGUAAGCGCAGCGAUGCGUUGAGCUAACCGGUACUAAUGAACCGUGAGGCUUAACCUU
This 1269-nucleotide ribosomal RNA is filed under the name Escherichia coli. Its description in RNAcentral is "bacterial LSU rRNA". It matches the Rfam family "Bacterial large subunit ribosomal RNA", at positions 1538 to 2925 of the family's 2925-position model. The record is from RNAcentral. Lineage: Bacteria; Pseudomonadati; Pseudomonadota; Gammaproteobacteria; Enterobacterales; Enterobacteriaceae.